ACGGAAGGCAGCAGUGGGGAAUCUUGGACAAUGGGGGCAACCCUGAUCCAGCCAUGCCGCGUGAGCGAUGAAGGCCCUAGGGUUGUAAAGCUCUUUCACCCGUGAAGAUAAUGACGGUAGCGGGAGAAGAAGCCCCGGCUAACUCCGUGCCAGCAGCCGCGGUAAUACGGAGGGGGCUAGCGUUGUUCGGAAUUACUGGGCGUAAAGCGCGCGUAGGCGGAGAUCCAAGUCGGGGGUGAAAUCCCGGGGCUCAACCCCGGAACUGCCUCCGAUACUGGGUCUCUGGAGGACGGGAGAGGCGAGUGGAAUGCCGAGUGUAGAGGUGAAAUUCGUAGAUAUUCGGCGGAACACCCGUGGCGAAGGCGGCUCGCUGGUCCGUUUCUGACGCUGAGGCGCGAAAGCGUGGGGAGCAAACAGGAUUAGAUACCCUGGUA
RNAcentral lists this ribosomal RNA (434 nucleotides) under uncultured Rhodobacterales bacterium. RNAcentral describes it as "bacterial SSU rRNA". It matches the Rfam family "Bacterial small subunit ribosomal RNA", at positions 341 to 792 of the family's 1533-position model. Lineage: Bacteria; Pseudomonadati; Pseudomonadota; Alphaproteobacteria; Rhodobacterales. The record is from RNAcentral.